This 253-nucleotide ribosomal RNA is filed under the name uncultured bacterium. RNAcentral's name for it is "partial 16S ribosomal RNA". It matches the Rfam family "Bacterial small subunit ribosomal RNA", at positions 524 to 776 of the family's 1533-position model. The record is from RNAcentral.
UACGGAGGGUGCAAGCGUUGUCCGGAUUUAUUGGGUUUAAAGGGUGCGCAGGUGGUUUAUUAAGUCAGUGGUGAAAGACGGUCGCUCAACGAUUGCAGUGCCAUUGAUACUGGUAGACUUGAGUAAAGUAGAGGUGGGCGGAAUUGAUAGUGUAGCGGUGAAAUGCAUAGAUAUUAUCAAGAACUCCAAUUGCGUAGGCAGCUCACUUGGCUUUUACUGACACUCAUGCACGAAAGUGUGGGUAUCAAACAGG